This 8454-nucleotide long non-coding RNA is filed under the name Nicotiana tabacum (common tobacco). RNAcentral's name for it is "long non-coding RNA (NTAB_LNC008848)". The record is from RNAcentral. Lineage: Eukaryota; Viridiplantae; Streptophyta; Magnoliopsida; Solanales; Solanaceae.
AAAAAUCCAUAGUCAAUAUAGCCCUAAAUUGCAACACCCAUUAAUUACCUACACUAGGGUUGAGCUACAACCCUAGCUAAUGGGUUUAGGUACUCAUACUUGAAGAGAAAAACAGAGAAAUAGUUGAAGAUGAACACAUAUUAAUUAAUUGCUAAGCUAAAUACAAAAAUUCAAUGAUAAAAAGUAAGUAAAAAUGCCAAAAAUGGCUACAAGAUACGUUCCCACGAGCGCAACAACUAUUCUAAAAUGUCUGAUGCCCUAAAACUGGAAAAAGAUUCUAUUUAUACUAAGUUGAAAAAAUUGGACAAAAAUGCCUCGGCGGGGUUAGUGCGGACCGCACAAAAUGGUGUGCGCCAGCAUUAGGCUCUUGAACUUGAAAACUUGACUCUCUGAACCCAGGCUCCGCAAGCCGCACAAAAUGGACUGCGGCCGCGGAAGCUUUUAGCGCGGUCCGCAUAGAAUUGAUCGCGGAUCGCACAGGCUUCAAUCCUUGAACUUGGCAUCUCUCUGAAUCUUGGCUCUGCGGACCGCACAGGCUUCAAUCCUUGAACUUGGCAUCUCUCUGAAUCUUGGCUCUACGGACCGCACAAAAUGGUAGUGCGGCCGCAUUGCCUUCAGUGCGGACCGCACAAAACCUUCUGCGGCCGCACUGCCUUAAUGCCUGAAAUACCAGCUCUCUGAAUCUCCUUAGUGCGAACCGCACAAAGUGUAGUGCGGUCGCACUGGGCCUGUUUUUCCUGAGUUUGUCUUGUCUUCAGUACUUGUGCAGGUUUCACUCCUUUUGAGCUGAUCUUUGACAUUGUAGUCACUUUGUGGAUCAAACCUGCAAUCAAGCACAACUUGUGAGCCUUUUGGAACUAUUUUGUAUGAAUUUAUAAUCAAAGCGUAAGCAAGAAGGAGUAUAAAAUGCGUCAAAAUCCCUAGUUAUCAACUCCCCCAAACUUAAGCUUUUGCUUGUACUCAAGCAAACAAAAUAAGACCCACCCCUUAAGGGAAAAGUCAAGAAAUUUUCAGUUGUCCUAAAGCAACCGCAAUUAGCAUCAAUUGGGACUAACAAUUGCCCUAAAUACAAAAUGAGUCAUUAACAACAUUUAACCUUUGAAAAACCAUGGAUCAAGUGCGACACAAGAGCUUCAAGAGUUGACUCAACACAUCAAAGAACUCUCUCAAUUACUUUGGUCAUUGUGGAACCCAAACUCACACAUCCUCAACUCUCCCUAAGCAAACCUUACCUUUAGAAUAUUGGCACACAAAACGAGGUUAGUGAAAAUUCACUCAUCUCUCUCAAGAAAAAGUCACAAGUCCGGCUCUAUGUACCAUAUGCUUGCCCCUUAUGUGAGUAUCCACUAAUGUAAGCUUCAUUCAACUCAAGAUCAUAUAGGGCUUUUGUGGAGAUAUUGUAAAGGCUUUUGGUUCAGGGUAGGACAUGUUUUGGUCUAAGUAUGUUCCAUCUUCCCUUAAGCACUUCUUUUGAUUCAUUUGACACAUAUUCUCUUGGCUCUUUAAGUCAUUUCACUUCUUUCUAAGGGGUUAGAAAGAUACACUGUCACUCUAUCUUAUGAAUUUCAAACCUCUUUUUCCUUUCUCAACCUUCCACACCUUUCAUUCUUUGCUUUUCUUAAAUCCCUUUUUAUUCCUUUUCACAUUUAGCAUUCUUUUGUUUUGUCUUUUACUUUUCUUCUCUUUCAUUACCUUUCCCUUUCUUCACUUUUGUGCCUUUUUACCACUUUGUUGUCAUCCUCGUCUCUUCCCCCUCCCCUCCCCCAAACUUAUACUUUUGCCAUGUGCUAAAGGAAAGAUCGGGUGCCAAGAGAGGAUAUCUUUUAGAACGGGUAUAGGCUUGUAUCAUGGUUCUUGAAAGAAAAAGGUCUAAGGCUCAAAAGGGUUAACUAGGGAUCAUAUCAUUGGUAGGCUAUGGAAUUGUUCAAACUAUCAUUUGGACCAAGGAGAGCCUAUAAUCAUGCCUUAAGUCAAAAAUUCACCGAUGAUUUCUCCUCAACAAACAUUCAGGGCAAGUUCUAGACCAAUGGCUCGGGACUUGGACGUGCAAUUUAAUUACUCACCACACAAGCUAAGGGAUUGCUAAAGACAUAGAGUCGGGGGCCCACAACGAUCUUAGAUACGAUUUGAGCACACAAUGGUCCCGAAAAAUCACUUGAUGAUUAUCGGUCAACACAAGAGUCUCAUGGUCACGACUUUCACCAUCCUAACCACAACAAUUUAUUUUUGACCAUGAGAUCAAAGGCAAAUGUGCUAGGCCCAAGUGAAGCUUUGCUUGAGGCACCCUUAACUAUUAACUAUUAAAAACAAAAAAGAAAAACGGACUCAAACUCUUAAGAAGGUUGUCAUGCCAUCCAUCAUUGGGAAGAGCCACCUGGUUCACACAAUACUCCACCUUUGGAAAGAACCGCGGCAUUAAGAAAACCAAAGGCUUAUUGAAAACGUUCAAAACAAAACAAAAAGCUACAAACAUAAAUAAGAAGCUAAAAACGAAUUUUUUUUACGAAAAGUAGAAUGAAUAUAUACAAGAAACAUAACUUUAUAUACAAACCCAAAGUAAAAUAAAAGUGCAAUAAAUGUAACUAAAUAUCAAAUUAUAUACAGACCAAAGAUGAAAAAUCAAAAAAGCAUAAAAAUGUAUCAAUAUAUAUACAGUCAUCCAAAAUGUAGGGCCUACCCCCUCAAAUUAAAGCUGUCAUUAUCCCCAAUGCCAACUAGUCUAAAUAAAGCAUCAAAAUGAUAAGAGGAAAAAGGAUAUAGAAGACUCCCUAAGCCCUGUGUGCUCGGGAACCUCAGAUUGGUUCCUAGUGGUCUGCUCCUCUGCUACUGGGACCUGAGCCUGGACCUUGACAGGCUCUGGAACUGGUACAUCUUGUGGCUGAUUGGAGGAAGUCUCCAGUGGGUCCGCCAACUGGAUGAUAGCAUCAUCAGCUUUAGGAAUCAUCCUCCUCCUCUUCGGAGGCCUCUGUAUCUGCUCCUGCUGUGGCUGAGUUGCUGGGACUAGGUCCUCGAGCAAUAAGUCUAAAGGCAUCUGAUCUGCCUUCAGUCUGUCAACAUCUGCACGCAGCUCCUUCACGAACUCCUUGGAGGCCCGUGUCUUCCGCAACUUUUUGUGCUCCUGAGCAAGAUCCUUGAGAGUCUUGCUAUGUGAAUCAACUGCCUUUGAGAGCGCAACCUGAGUGUCGAGGAUCUUCUUCUGAUUGUCAAGUAUCUCCUUGAGCGCAUCCUUUAUCGACUGUGGCAUCCGUGGGGCUGGGGGAACCGACUGAGCCUCUACAGUGGUAGUCAAGAUGGACAACUUGGAUGAGGCAGUCUGCAUCCAGUUGUUGAUACUCAGAAGUGCCUAGCUCAGACGGUGAGCAGUAAUAGGAUGGGCCCGAGAAGAUGGGAUCUCCGAGCCCGAUGAUGUGGAUGGACCAGCAGGAAUAGCUGUGGAUGUGGAAGGUCCGGGAGGGAUGUCAGCAGGAGUGGAGGUAGGCUCAGCAGGGAACUCUACCACAACUGGCUCUUCAGACUGGCCAGUUGGGGUAGAAGCAGGAGCUUUGUAGUUCUUGCUCUUGGGGUUGUCAUCCCCCUUCAUGCUAUACCAGGAAAAUGGGCUACCGCCUUGACCUUGAUAUCAUAGGGUCUCUUGUCCACCUCCAUGUCCCGAAAGUACAUUGUGAGGAAGCUGGGAAAAGGGUAGUUCUGGUCAUGCUCCACUCCCACUAUAGUGAUAAUUCGGGACAUCACAUUCCCCACGUUGAUAAGGUACUCUACAAUGAUAUAAGCCACUAACAUAGCCGGUGGAGAGGAAGGGUGUUGUCAUGAGUGGUAGGGUCCAAGCUGCAAACAAAAGUCUCCCAUUCCCUCGCCUCAAAGUUCAAGCUCCUUCUCAAUAUUUUGACUCCAACAGUCAACCAGUCGGGGACGGUACCUGGGAUUGCCAGGUACUGUGCUAGCCAUGGACGGACCUCCUUGCCAAUUUCCAACUUUGCCAUAUACAAUAUCUCAUCCUCCUCAUUGAAGCUCAGAUACUCAUUUAUCGACUUCCCAUCAAAUAACACCUUCAAGUUCCGAACCUUGGUCACUUUGGAGCCCUUUUUGAUGUGGGCUACAUUGCAAUAAAACUCCUUGACCAAGUGUUCAUUGGCGUCUACACAGUCAUCCAUGAAAUGCUCCCAGCCCACUCUAGUUCUAAACUGUCUUUGCACGUCGGGAUUGUGGGGUAAUAGGUCUCUAUCUAUGAAGCUCCUCUCCGGGAUCAGUUUUCUCACCGGCCACUACUCACUAAACUUAUGGUACGCCACUUCACUUACAAACCUACCCUCCCAAGCUUCGGGCUUCCUAGUUCUAGCAACACCUCUCACCUGAGGCUCACCACCUUCAGCUACCUCCUCAUCUCCCUCUACUUCCUCCUCACCUUCGUAUGCACCCUCCCCGGAUAAUAAAGCUGCGGGGGAGGUAGAGUAAUCACUACUACCGGCUGUUGAGCCCUUAGAUGACUCAGUAGAAACAUGUGCUGGUGCUUGGGCAGUGGGUGAUGGUGGAGGAGUAGUAUUUGUCAGUUUGAAUCUUCCCGGCCAAUCUUCAACAUAUUCUGGCACGGAGUCCGAAGAAAUGUCCUGGGAUGCACAUACUCACUCCCCGACUGAUCACUGGCUUUGUCAGCUGCUUUUAUUGCCUUCCUCAUCUGUUUUAUGCUUUGUCUAACUUGGGGAGUGAAUCUAAUCAUCUUCUUGCCCUUUCCCCCGGGAGGAUUCACCUCUGUCGGGUUGUUUUGAGCCUUUCCCUAAUUGUUUAACCAUUGUCUGCAAUCACAAUCACAUGGCAUUGUUAGUAUCAGUUGCAGCAUUAGAGAAACAGUGAAAAUUCAGUGUUGCAGAACAUGGGAACAUAGUUGCAGAAGUCCCUAGUGCAGACCGCAUAAAAUGGAGUGUGGCCACACAGGGGCCAGUGCGGUCCGCACAAAAUGGUAGGGUGGUCCGCACAAAAUGGUAGGGUUCAGACUACCCAUCCUCUAUAUCUAACCAGUGCGGACCGCACAAAAUGGUAGUGCGGUUGCACAAGGACCAGUGUGGUUCACACAAAAUGUAGUGCGGCCGCACUGCCCAAGGUUUAUCUUUCCAGAAGUUCAUCAGUGCGGUCCACACAAAAUGGAACUGCGGAAUGCACUGGGGCACCGCGGACCACACAAAAGCGACCGCGGUCCGCACUAAGUGCCCAAUUUUGGCACUGAGUUAGGGUUCAUGGGAUUUUUGCUUUUAAGUCCAAAUUUUCACCUAAUGAGUGCCCCUAAGUCAUUUCUUGGUCCAUUAAACUAACAAAGUCCUCAUGAAUUCAAAAUUUACCUCUACUUUAGCCUAGGCAAUUGAAAUAAAUACGGGAGGAAGAAGAACAGAAGCUCAGAAAAACAAAAAUUAAACAAAAUUACAAAAUUAAACAAGGAAAAGGAAGAUUUUGUUACCAGAUUAUGAGAUGAAGUGAAACUAAUCAAUGCCAAGCAAGUAAUUACGAUCAAAUGCAAGGGAAGAACAAUAUUAGUAUGCUCUGCGAGUUAAAAUUUUGAAAAUUUUGAAAAGGGUAAUAGGAGACCCUUAAGGUCUAUUUAUAGAAAAGCCCCUGGGGCCCAGUCUCACCUACCAGUGCAGACCGCACAAAAUGGACCGCGGUCUAUAUUGAACUGUUUUAUUCAAGUUUGAGAAGGCAACACUUUGAGGUCCGCACAAAAUGGACUGCGGCCGCAGAGGUUCACCGCGGACCGCACAAAAUGUAGUGCGGCCGCGGUGGCAAACUUCAGAGAAGCUUCAUUUUACCCACACCAUUGCGGUCCGCACAAAAUGUACUGCGGCCGCACUGGCAACUUCAGAGACCUGUGCAUUUUUUCCACUAUGUCUUGCACUGCAUCAACACAACCCUGUAACAUCUCACAACCAGUUAACUCAAAAAUCAAUCCUAUACUUCAAGAAAAUCAAAGAAAUCAAGAAGAAAAACACAUGGGUUGCCUCCCAAGAAACGCCUGAUUUAACGUCGCGGCACGACGUAGGUUACCAUCACAUCAUUUGAAAUGAAGUGCCACCACAUGGCUGUCAUCAAUUUUCCCAAGAUAAUGCUUGCCCCGGUGCCCGUUAACUCUAAAGACUUCACCAAUUUUUAUUUUUCAAAUCAAGAGCACCAAAAGGGGUUACAAACACAACUUCAAAUGACCCACUCCAUUUUGAUUUAAGCUUUCCCGGAAAUAGACGUAACCGAGAGUUGAACAAGAGAACCAAUCACCUACUUUGAACUCCUUUCCACGAGCAUAUUUAUCAUGAAGGUACUUCAUCUUGUCCUUAUACAAGGACGAACCAAAGUAGACAUGGAAUCUAAAUUCAUCAAGUUUAUUGAGCUGCUCUACACGAAGAUUGGCUGCAACAUCCCAUUCAAGAUUCAACUUCCUCAAAGCCCACAUGGCCUUGUGCUCUAACUCAACCGGAAGAUGGCAAGCUUUCCCAAACACCAACCGAUACGGAGACAUACCAAUCGGAGUUUGUAAGCCGUCUAACAAGCCCAUAGAGCGUCAUCCAACUUCUUCGACCAAUCAGUCCUAUUAGUAUUGACCGUCUUUGACAAUAUACUUUUGAUUUCCCUGUUGGAGACUGUCACACCUCCUUUUUACUACCCCCCGGAAGGGUAUAAGGGAGUUUUGUCCAAUUUAAGUGACAAUCGAAACAAGAUUAUUUAUUUAUUCAGAGUCACCACUUGGGAUAAUUUAUGGUGUCCCAAGUCACCGGUUUGGAAUCCUGAAUCGAGGAAAGAUUGACUCUGUUCUAUAGUCCGCGAACACAGAAAUUCGGGUAAGGAAUUCUGUUAACCCAAGAGAAGGUGUUAGGCAUUCCCGGGUUUCGUGGCUAUAGCACGGUCGCUCAACUAUUAUUAUUGGCCUAAUUAUCUGAUUUUAAAACACUUUUAGACCUAUGUGCACUUUUAACCUUUAACCUUUAAAAAUCGCUUUUAAUUAUUUAAAGAAUUAAUUCAAGGUUAUAUAAAACAUAUCGCAAGCCAUGGCACAUGAAAUGCACCCGUGGUUCACGACACGUUCUAUUUAAUCUUGUUGGAAAUUAGAACUGGGCCACAUGAAAUACCCCCGGGUUUUAGAAAUUAAGCAUCACAACUACGUCAGGGAGCCGUACCCGUAGAUAUGAUGAUUCAUUAAUUAAUGCACCUAAAACAUGCUACAAUUGUACAUUCUCAUCAGAUUAUACACCCAUUGGAUGGUACAACUAUAAUAGCUCUCAAUUGAAUAACAACUAAGAGCCAUAUACAUCAUCACAAAUAUUUGAACUACUUAUUAUAUUUGAUACAAUUCAUCAAAAUCAAGUUCCAGCAAUCAUGAGAGAUUGGUUUGUAAAAGACUUAUAUGUAUUACUUUGCAAGAAAUCAAUUUUUACGUAGAAAUAGUGAAUGGUUCUAUUUUCUUGAUGUAGAGUUCUCACAGCCAGCACAACUAAUACUAUGUAACUCUUAAUAAGAUAAGCAAUUUGAUAUCCAAAAAAAAACUUAAAUCGAUCAUCAAAACGAGAAUCUCAAACUAUUCAAAAAUAUAAAUGAAUGCCAAUGAACACCAAAAUAACAAGAGAAACGACUCAUAUCAUUAAUCAAACAAGAUGAGAAGUGGACCUUGGAAGUUGAAUAUGAAACUUUAACGCUUGGACUGCUUUGAAAUUCACAAGCGACCAGAUCGCGAACAAGACCUCGACGGAAAUGGAACCUCAAAUCGGCGACAAAUCAGAGCGACAAACGACGACCCCAAAACCUUGCUCUGUUCUAUGAUUUUAUUAAUGGAUAGGCCAUUUUCAGGUGUUGUAUUGGACUGAUUUUCGCUGGGUUUUGAACUGUUUCCAUGGAGUUUUCAGCUGUGUCUUUUGGAGGUUUGAAAGCUAGUUUUCGACUAACUUCGCGGUUGGUUUUUCAGCUGGUUUCGGGCUUCAUGUGGCGACGUUAAUAGAGGUUUUCUGGUGGUGUUCAUGGAAGGAAAAGAGUAGCUCUCAUGGCUGCUUUGGACGGCAGAAAAAUGAAACGAUGGCUGCGUUUUUCUGUUGUAAUGUUGUUGCACAGCUUCCUUCUUUUUCUUGUUGUGUAUGUGUGUUAUAUUGUUGAGGGUGGCAAAGAUGAGAGAAGAGGGUGACCGUUUGGUUGAAGAAGCAAAACGAUGGGGUGUUCUUGGGUGUUAGCGGCGCUGCUUCAUCUUCAGGCUCCUAGGGUUUUCUUCUAUUGUUUCAACGAAGAAGACGAUGAAAAGCUACGGGGGUGGGGUGGGGUGGGGGGGUGUUUUUUGAGUAUCAGCAGCGGAUGGGAUUUAGCUUUUUUGUCUAGGUCUUUAGGCGUUAGCUAUGUAGGUCUAAGGUCUCCUUUAUUUUCAGCUCAUUUCCCUUUAUAUGUAUAUGUCUAGGGUUCAAUUAAAGGGAAGAGGUGUUGGGCCAAGGGUUAAUUUGG